Serinus canaria (Common canary) is the source of this 3412-nucleotide long non-coding RNA. RefSeq lists it as uncharacterized. The transcript has 2 exons. Lineage: Eukaryota; Metazoa; Chordata; Aves; Passeriformes; Fringillidae. The record is from RefSeq and is a predicted model, not a curated record.
GCAGAGAGGGAGGGAAUAGACCCCAAAUUCGGCCCAAGCGGGGUUAUGCAAAUAGCCCUGCUGUAUGCAAAUACGCGCAAAGCACUCUGGGGCGGAGCGGUACCGAGGCUCCUCACGGAGCCGUUCUGAAUCAAUAACUCCCGCCGGGUUUCACAGUCACGUUCGGCUGUGCGCACCUGGGAAUGUGACACUUUCUGCCGUGGCACAUCGGUGGUUUGGACCUAAAUUAGUUAACAUUGCUGACCUGCGCCGAGAGCGGGUGGCUGAAGCUACUUUUGUUUUUCAGAAUCACAGAAUCGGGCUGGAAGGUCCGUCUGGAGAUCAAAGCCCCCGGCCAAGGCAGGGUUACCCGGAGCAGGUGACACCGGAACGCGUCCAGAGCCCAGCAGGGCCAGACCGGACCGCGCUGAAGCUCCAGCCCAGCCCACGGGUUGUCCUUGCUCUCAACCGUCGCACUCUUCCCGAUUUUCUUCAAUGCAAUGAAAUUGACAAAAUACUUCAUAUAAUUCUUGCUACUUUUUAAUUAGCUAUUUCAUUGUCUUUUACUGCUGUUUUAUAUUAAGUACUUUUGGGGGGAGGCAUUUACACUAUGGAAAAAUUUUUAAGGCAGAUGUGCAGAAUUUGGACGUUAUAUUUUCAAGUUAUCUUCCAACUAACUACUCACUUGGAAAAUAAGGGGAGAAGGGCAGUGUUUUGGGAUAAAUUGCACAAUUUAAAUAGAUAUUCCCUCUGCUUCACUGACAGAAACCCUCAAUAGUUAUCUUUCACUUCCAGAGCAGCUAAGGACAUCUUACACCUUGGCUCCCCUCCUCCAAACCUGUCCUACAAGUCACUUGUUUACACAGCAACAGGAGCAAGCCUCUCUGUUCAACAGCUCCUCCUCCUCCUCUGGCCAGGUAACCCUUGAGAAAAACACAGAACAUCUUCAAAUCAAGUUAUUAUUUAGUAGAAAUCCAGGUCCCAACUGCUCAAGAGAACAUAUGGUAAUUUUUGCUCAGUUCAUUAAAUUUUCACACAACCUAGUGAUGAAAAAAUUUCCUUGUCUGUGUCAGAGCUGAUUUUCAUCCUUUUCUCUGGAUCAGGGCUCACACAAAGAUCUUUUCCUGUGUUUUAAGUGUCUCUGUCCAGUAACCUCAGCACAGCCAGCCCCUCUCACAGGCUGGCUUCAAACACACCCCAGCACAAGAGCUUCAAAGCCACAGGGCUUGUCUGCCUUGCAAGGAAUCAAUAUAUUACCUGACCAGUUUAGAGAGCUAAUUACCAUUCAUCAUUUCAUUUCACAGACUCUGAAGUGCAGCUGUAAUCCAAAAGUCCCAUCAAGUGCUGAUACAGUAUUGGUGCCACACAUGAUGGGCCCCAGACAAACCCUCUGGGUGAAACUAGGUGUACUUAAAGGGUUAAACUUUUACAUCAUGCAUUGACACAGAACCAGUGCAGAAUUGAGUACUGAGAUUUAUUCACAAUUCAUGGUCAUGCUGCACUGGAAAACAAAGCACCAGAAUUUGGAUACCUCAACAUCAUCCAGGUAUAACCCAGCUGAGACUGCUGCAUUUGGGUAUCUGCAUUCCUCUGGGGGACAGCACAGCCCAGGGCUGCCCAGGCCCUUGGCCACAGGACACACACAGGUGCUGUGGCUGAGGGAGCCCUCCUGCAGCAGGCAAAGGGACUUCACAACACGCUGGAGCAGCCUCAGAGGAAAGUACCAUAACCCCAGAAAUUCAGCAACUGACAUGCUCAAGUCAAGAACAUCCCACGACAAUUUUAUUGAUUCAUUUACCAAUUCCUUUCCCACAAUCUCUCCAGUUUAUCAUUUUCUUAAAAUCCUUUUAUCUCAGCACAAAAUUCAAGGGGGAGGUAAAGCUGUAGCCAUGUCAGGAGCUUUUCCUGUUGCUGAAGUGACAGUAGCAAUAGGAAUUAUUAUGGCAUCAAGAAAUUCAAUCAGGAAAUUAAAUAGUGCUCUAAUUUCAGAAGUGUGGAUAUUGUCAACAUUAAUGGACUUUCCAAGUGCAGAUUCAAAAGCCAGAAUCAAACCUUAGGGAAAUAUUUCUCUGUAUAUGAAGCUGCAACAACGUUUUCUGAUAUAUGUUAAAAUUUCAAUGAAAGCAGGUGAAUGGGGAAAGAUUAAAAGGAAAGAAAAGUUCUAUCCUGUAAAACUGGCACUUGAAAGAGUCCUUUAAAAAACUAAAACAUUUUACUCCAAAAAAACUUAACUAAAACAUUUUACUCUUAAAAAACAAAAGCUGACCAAGAAAAAAAAACCAAACCAAAAAGACAAGUCUCAGUUACUUAGGUCACUAAUGCUAAUACAUUCUUUGUAGCCACUUGUCAUGGUUUUGCAUAGGAGACAUUUAGGGAAGUGAUGGAAAGGUUUGUUAUGCAAAACCAUAACACCACUACAAGCUCAGUUAGAUGCCUGCCUUGUCUUUAAAAAAGAAUUCUGCAGCAGACAAAUCAUCAACAGCUCUGCACUGUGACUACCUCAAUAGGUUAAAACCCUUGAGCAGAUGGAAGAAAUGGUGGAUGCAGCUGACACAGGUUAUUCUGGACACUGAGCCAGCCAUUUCCCUUGCAGGGGGAGCAGAGCAGAUUGAUUUCAGCCACUGCCCAGCCCAUUCCUGGGCUCCCCCAGCAGCACAGGCAGUGAGGCCCUCCAGUGCAGCAGGCAAGCACUGGCCAAAGCACCACCCAGCCCUGGCAGGAUCCAUCACCUUGAACACACAGCUCAGGGCUCUGCUUUCAGAACAACAAGGCAGCUCUUGUGUAGUUUACUGAAGAUUUCCUCAGAAAAGCAAACUGGUUUUGUACCAUUGCACCCAGUAAAUGCACAUAAAAAAAUAAGCACACUGUACAAAGAGCAGCAGAGAUAUAAUUUAAACAUGCAUCCAGCUACAAACCAUAUAUACAGAGAAACAGCCUAUACAAACAGAACAGGACCAUUUAUUACAUUACAAUUCUGGUGGAGUUUUUGGAGGAAAUCACAGCAGAUGAACAAUGUCAGACUGAAGGAGGUGGAUGUUGGUUCUGAAAGUAAUCUGGUUUGAAAUGUCACACAACACCCCCACCUUUCUCCAGCACACACACCUAGGACACUUCCAGCUACACACAGCUCUUCCCACAACUCCUGGACUCCCUUCCUGUACAGAGGUAGAUUUCUGUCGAUGUUCUGAUAUUGCACCACAGUAAAUAUGGUUCUUAUCACAAGGAACAACUUGCAAAGGCUAAUUUCUAUAAUUCAGGGGCAUAAUCUCAUUGUGGGCAUUCAGGCAGUGCAGUAAAUAAAUUCAUUUGCACUUGAAAAAAAACCUCCCUCCAAGUGCAAUUGUUUGUUAUUUAGGUGGAGGUCCAAUGGAAAGCUGCAACUUUUAACAGCUCCAUACCAAGAGAGCUGUUUGCUGUCUCUCUCCUUUUCAGC